RNAcentral lists this ribosomal RNA (360 nucleotides) under Salmonella enterica. Its description in RNAcentral is "partial 23S ribosomal RNA". It matches the Rfam family "Bacterial large subunit ribosomal RNA", at positions 161 to 559 of the family's 2925-position model. The record is from RNAcentral. Lineage: Bacteria; Pseudomonadati; Pseudomonadota; Gammaproteobacteria; Enterobacterales; Enterobacteriaceae.
AAUCCAUAGGUUAAUGAGGCGAACCGGGGGAACUGAAACAUCUAAGUACCCCGAGGAAAAGAAAUCAACCGAGAUUCCCCCAGUAGCGGCGAGCGAACGGGGAGGAGCCCAGAGCCUGAAUCAGCAUGUGUGUUAGUGGAAGCGUCUGGAAAGGCGCGCGAUACAGGGUGACAGCCCCGUACACAAAAGCGCACGUGCUGUGAGCUCGAUGAGUAGGGCGGGACACGUGGUAUCCUGUCUGAAUAUGGGGGGACCAUCCUCCAAGGCUAAAUACUCCUGACUGACCGAUAGUGAACCAGUACCGUGAGGGAAAGGCGAAAAGAACCCCGGCGAGGGGAGUGAAAAAGAACCUGAAACCGU